Molecule: ribosomal RNA, 520 nt
Filed under: uncultured Glomus
Lineage: Eukaryota; Fungi; Glomeromycota; Glomeromycetes; Glomerales; Glomeraceae
Description: SSU rRNA
Rfam family: Eukaryotic small subunit ribosomal RNA
Source: RNAcentral
AGCAGCCGCGGUAAUUCCAGCUCCAAUAGCGUAUAUUAAAGUUGUUGCAGUUAAAAAGCUCGUAGUUGAAUUUCGGGAUUGACGUAAUGGUCAUGCCUUAAGGGGUAUGAACUGUUACAGUUGAUUUCUCACCUUCUGGAGAAACUUGAUGUCCUUUAUUGGGUGUCUUGCGGAUCCAGGACCUUUACCUUGAAAAAAUUAGAGUGUUUAAAGCAGGCAUUUUUGCUCGAAUACAUUAGCAUGGAAUAAUAGAAUAGGACGGCAUGGUUCUAUUUUGUUGGUUUCUAGGAUCACCGUAAUGAUUAAUAGGGAUAGUUGGGGGCAUUAGUAUUCAAUUGUCAGAGGUGAAAUUCUUGGAUUUAUUGAAGACUAACUACUGCGAAAGCAUUUGCCAAGGAUGUUUUCAUUAAUCAAGACGAAAGUUAGGGGAUCGAAGACGAUCAGAUACCGUCGUAGUCUUAACCAUAAACUAUGCCGACUAGGAAUCAGACGAUGUUAAUUUUUUAAUGUAACUCGUUUU